RNAcentral lists this transfer RNA (72 nucleotides) under Cavia porcellus (domestic guinea pig). It matches the Rfam family "tRNA". From Rfam's summary of the family: Transfer RNA (tRNA) molecules are approximately 80 nucleotides in length. Their secondary structure includes four short double-helical elements and three loops (D, anti-codon, and T loops). Further hydrogen bonds mediate the characteristic L-shaped molecular structure. tRNAs have two regions of fundamental functional importance: the anti-codon, which is responsible for specific mRNA codon recognition, and the 3' end, to which the tRNAs corresponding amino acid is attached (by aminoacyl-tRNA synthetases). tRNAs cope with the degeneracy of the genetic code in two manners: having more than one tRNA (with a specific anti-codon) for a particular amino acid; and 'wobble' base-pairing, i.e. permitting non-standard base-pairing at the 3rd anti-codon position. Lineage: Eukaryota; Metazoa; Chordata; Mammalia; Rodentia; Caviidae. The record is from Rfam by way of RNAcentral.
GGGGAUUUAGCUCAGUGGUACAGCACUUGCCUAGCAAGUGCAAGGUCCUGGGUUCAAUUCCCAGUAACCGCA